UGUGGGAGCUGGCUUGCCUGCGAUAGCGGUGGUUCAGCUGGCUUGUAGGGCACUGUUAGACCGCUAUCGCAGGCAAGCCAGCUCCCACA
This 89-nucleotide unclassified non-coding RNA is filed under the name Pseudomonas libanensis. Lineage: Bacteria; Pseudomonadati; Pseudomonadota; Gammaproteobacteria; Pseudomonadales; Pseudomonadaceae. The record is from RNAcentral.